UUUGAGAGUAGAAGCGGUCAGCGGCUUUGCUGCGGGACAUUGCUCCAUUG
RNAcentral lists this non-coding RNA (50 nucleotides) under Thiomonas bhubaneswarensis. Its description in RNAcentral is "Xanthine-I sequence". It matches the Rfam family "Xanthine riboswitch aptamer (NMT1 RNA)". Rfam says of the family: Later it was reported as a ncRNA that recognised Xanthine. The record is from Rfam by way of RNAcentral. Lineage: Bacteria; Pseudomonadati; Pseudomonadota; Betaproteobacteria; Burkholderiales.